GUCUAUGGGCAUACCACCCUGAAUGGGCCCGCUCUCAUCUGAUCUCAGAAGGUAAGCAGGGUUGGGCCUGGUUAGUACUUGGAUGGGAGACCGCCUGGAAAUACCAGGUGCUGUAGGGU
Molecule: ribosomal RNA, 119 nt
Filed under: Saimiri boliviensis boliviensis (Bolivian squirrel monkey)
Lineage: Eukaryota; Metazoa; Chordata; Mammalia; Primates; Cebidae
Source: RNAcentral